Molecule: ribosomal RNA, 490 nt
Filed under: uncultured bacterium
Lineage: Bacteria
Description: partial 16S ribosomal RNA
Rfam family: Bacterial small subunit ribosomal RNA
Source: RNAcentral
AUUGAACGCUGGCGGUAGGCCUAACACAUGCAAGUCGAACGGUAACAGGAAACAGCUUGCUGUUUCGCUGAUGAGUGGCGGACGGGUGAGUAAUGUCUGGGAAACUGCCUGAUGGAGGGGGAUAACUACUGGAAACGGUAGCAAAUACCGCAUAACGUCGCAAGCCUAAAGAGGGUGACCUUCGGGCCCCUUGCCACUGGAUGGGCCCGGAUGGGUUUACUUAGAAGGUGGGGUAACGGCUCACCUAGGCCACGAUCCCUAUCUGGUCUGAGUGGAUGACCAGCCACACUGGAACUGAGACACGGACCAGACUCCUACGGGAGGCAGCAGUGGGGAAUAUUGCACAAUGGGCGCAAGCCUGAUGCAGCCAUGCCGCGUGUAUGAAGAAGACCUUCGGGUUGUAAGGUACUUUCGGCGGGGGUGAAGGGAGUAAAGUUAAUACCUUUGCUCAUUGACGUUACCCGCAGAAGAAGCACCGGCUAACUCCGUG